RNAcentral lists this long non-coding RNA (755 nucleotides) under Homo sapiens (human). Its description in RNAcentral is "HSALNT0298549". The record is from RNAcentral. Lineage: Eukaryota; Metazoa; Chordata; Mammalia; Primates; Hominidae.
GGGGUUGUAUGUUGGAGGAGGGAAUAUGUAGGAAAUCAGGGUGACAUUUAAAGCUGAGGGUGCAUAGUGUCCCCCACCAGUGUUUCAGGGAGAAAUUUGAACUCGCAUUUGCACACAAACAGCAGGAUUUUAAGAGAGCCCAGGUGAAGGCGUCACCCUCAGAAUGGAAGGGGUGGGGAGAAGGGCCGGGGUGCAGUCUCAGGGAGGAGGUACCCUUAGCUGCAGAAUCACCGUCCUGCACGUGUGUACCUCUGCAAUGUGGUCAAAUAGAACGGCUGUGGACGCGACACCACCCAUUUGCCUUUUAAGUUAGCAAGCCCAAAGUAUGCUUUAAUGUUUACUUUUUAAGAUUUUUAGAAAAGGUAGAAGACGACUCUAUUUCCUAAUAUGGUAAUUACUGCUUUUGUCAAAAUGUGAAUGCUGCGUGCACAUUUCUGCAAUAGCAUUAGUGAACACCAUGUUGAAAUCACAUUUUUUUUUCCCUUUUCCUCCAAUUUUGUGGGAUUCUCGUUCCUUGUUGAGGCACCCUUGGCUAAUGGGAAAAGCACUGGAUCUGUGAAAAGAUGGCCAUCUCUGAACCAGGGAGAGGAUCCUCACCAGACACCAAAUCUGAUGUCUUGAUCUUGGACUUCUUAGCCUUCAAAAUGAAAAAUAUCUGCAGUGAAUAUCUUUGGACCUACUUUCCUGAGCACUUACUAUGUGCUAGGUGCUCUUCAGGUGCUCCUAAGGAAUAAUGCCAUUCCCCUCAAUGGUCG